GAGGGGCGGGAGGGGGCGGGGCGGGCGCAGGUGCACCGGACCGGAAGGGGCGGGGGCGGAAGCCGCGCUGGGGCACGUGCAGGGGCCAGUUGAGGAAGUCGACCCGAAGGCCACGGCAGAGUAGGUGUGGGGCGCUCUGUGUCGCUACGGUGUGUCACUGAGGAGCCGCACCAUCCGGGAGGGGCCGGAGGGGCUUGGCGGCCGCCCAGCGGAGCCCCUUUCUUCCCAGGGACGACAGAAGCUGGAAGCCAAGGUCGUCUUCAGUGAAUAGCAAAUGUGGUCAAGUGAUCUUCGUGGAAGCUCGUCAGGAUGACAUCUCUAGAACGCUCCUGAGGAGGACGUCUGAGCCAGCACUGAAGUGGCGUCCCUUCAAGGAUUGUCAUCGCCCUUCCUCGGCCGGUAUCAGAGAAUACGCUGUAGAGAAAAGUCCCACUUGUUCGGAAAGCGGCUUUGAGGCGAACCCUUAAUCUAAAACGUCAGGAGUACGUUCUCUCCCUUCAGGUACCAGCCUCUCUCGUCGUGCGGUUCGAAAUCGGGAUUAAUAUUUUAACUUCUCACUUACGGGAUCUUUCCGAGUCGGAGCCAGGCUUAAUUAGCCGGCAUUGGGCAUCCGGCGUCCCAAUGUGGAACUUGCAUUCCUUAGAUAUUGGUUCGUUUAUGCUCCCGGAGGAGGAGGCAGCUCCUCUCUGUCCGCUCCGAGGAAGGCGCGCCUCGAGUGGUAUCUUAGCUCAGCCAAGUGCGCGGUGCAGCUUCCACGGUGGUUUGGGGGCACGCGGCGCUCUCUCUCCUAUUUAAUCGCUCGCCUCGCUGUACCGGCCUCCACUCUGUGCCAUUACGUUUUGGGGGAUACGAUGUUGACCCGCGGGUGGUCCAAUAAAAUGCGUGUUCCGUACUAAUGAGCCAUAUUGCAGUUC
Molecule: long non-coding RNA, 914 nt
Organism: Leopardus geoffroyi (Geoffroy's cat)
Lineage: Eukaryota; Metazoa; Chordata; Mammalia; Carnivora; Felidae
Exons: 3
Source: RefSeq, a predicted model, not a curated record